GAAGUCUAAGGAUGGUUUGGAUAUACCCAAGUUUCCUAAGCACAUGCUCAGACAAGUGAUGACACUUCAUGUUACCUCCGCAUCUAAUCCAGCCAGAGUACCAACAUAUUUCCUCCAAUGGACGAGCCAGACAAUUGUAUUCAUAGGGAGAAAACCAAUAAUCUUAGACCUCCAACGGAUCCAAUGUAUUCAUGUAUGUUUCUG
Molecule: long non-coding RNA, 204 nt
Filed under: Cicer arietinum (chickpea)
Lineage: Eukaryota; Viridiplantae; Streptophyta; Magnoliopsida; Fabales; Fabaceae
Description: long non-coding RNA (CARI_LNC003497)
Source: RNAcentral